RNAcentral lists this ribosomal RNA (482 nucleotides) under uncultured bacterium. Its description in RNAcentral is "partial 16S ribosomal RNA". It matches the Rfam family "Bacterial small subunit ribosomal RNA", at positions 30 to 507 of the family's 1533-position model. The record is from RNAcentral.
AUUGAACGCUGGCGGCAUGCUUUACACAUGCAAGUCGAACGGUAACAGGCCGCAAGGUGCUGACGAGUGGCGAACGGGUGAGUAAUGCAUCGGAACGUGCCCAGUCGUGGGGGAUAACUACUCGAAAGAGUAGCUAAUACCGCAUACGAUCUAUGGAUGAAAGCGGGGGACCGUAAGGCCUCGCGCGAUUGGAGCGGCCGAUGUCAGAUUAGGUAGUUGGUGGGGUAAAGGCUCACCAAGCCAACGAUCUGUAGCUGGUCUGAGAGGACGACCAGCCACACUGGGACUGAGACACGGCCCAGACUCCUACGGGAGGCAGCAGUGGGGAAUUUUGGACAAUGGGCGCAAGCCUAAUCCAGCAAUGCCGCGUGCAGGAAGAAGGCCUUCGGGUUGUAAACUGCUUUUGUACGGAACGAAACGGCUCUGGUUAAUACCCGGGGCUAAUGACGGUACCGUAAGAAUAAGCACCGGCUAACUACGUG